RNAcentral lists this long non-coding RNA (1694 nucleotides) under Monodelphis domestica (gray short-tailed opossum). RNAcentral describes it as "lncRNA (ENSMODG00000032048.2)". Lineage: Eukaryota; Metazoa; Chordata; Mammalia; Didelphimorphia; Didelphidae. The record is from RNAcentral.
CAGGAACGAAUUGGGGGGAUGCCCGGGCGGAACCCUGCUUUGGGCUCGGGCUCACUGUCCACUGACCGGGCAUUUCCAGUCGGCCCGACGGCCAGGGUAGCCCAGCUCCAUCUGGCCGGGCCAGGGCGGGGACACAGGGUCUGGACUUGCUCCCAGGCAGGGUGACGGGCCAACCUAACGGAGAGCCCCCCCUCCCCCCAAGCCACCUCCCUCCGGCCCCAGCCACAGUGGCGGCUGCAGGAGGGGGUGCGCGGUUGCCAGUCUCGGGCGGUGGCAGCAGCAGCAGCUGGAGCAACCCCGGAGCGCGUGGCGAAGGCAGGCAGGACCACCCCCACCCCCUCCCCAGAGCAGCCUCGGUCCGGGGCGGGGCGGGACAGGGCGGGGCCGGAGGACCGAGGAGGCGGGGAGAGGAGGCUCCGAGGCUCGGGCUGGCUCCACUCGAAAGCAGCCGGCUGUGGAGGCAGCGUCGGCGGCGGUGGCGGCGGUGGCGGCGGUAGCAGCGGCGGCAGCGGCGGCAGCGGCGGCGGUGACGGUGGCAGCGGGCGGGCUCAGGGAGCAGCGGCAGCUGUCCGGGCCAGGCAGACCGGCGGGCACGGUCCAGGAGAGCCGGCCGGCAGCCCAAAGGAUGCUGAUCAAACCCACAAAAGGGCAAUAUCACUCACUUCUCAUUUCAUGACCAGCCUCCAGGAUCUGCAGACUACAGACAAGGAACACUGCUGACACCAGCUGUGCAGCUGGGAAAGUUAAAGAAGAUGAGCUCUGUGGAUGAGUUAAUAUAACAGAGAUUAUUUGGCAAGUCUUCCUGGUAAGUGUACCCCCUUGAUUAUAUAUCAUUUUUUACAGCUUUGAAAAUUCAAAUUACUCUCUUCUUUCUUGGCUACAUACUUGCCCAGGGAUCAUAUCAUAGGCUAUGAACUUUUAUUAUUUUGAUUAAGUUGGAUUUGGUUCGUGCCCAUACCUUGUAUGGGAAUCGGUAGAGAAUCUUUGUUGCCCCUCUGUGACUUUCUCGGUUGAGCUUGUCGUUUUUGCACAUUGCAACGCUGCUUUGUUUGGCAUUGGUAAAACUCAUCAUUUAUUGGUAGUUGAAAUUGGAGGCAUUUUGAUAUUGUCAGGACUGUGUGUCCAUUUUAAUGGCAGUGUCCAAUUCAGUGGAACCACCAUGGCCAAACACUGUGCAUCCUUCUUAGGGGCUUUUGUCUCUGAGUUUCAUACUUCUUUGCCAUUGUGGGAAGAAUCUUUGAAAGAGUCAUCAUAAAGUACCAAAUGAUGUUGCAGCGAGUGGUGGAGAAAUGAGAUUUAUUAUGCAUCCAAAAGCAAAUGAGUACACUUAAAAGCUAAUGAUAUUUUGGAAUGCAGAAAUACAGUGGGCAUAUGGCAGAAAGAGUUUGCGUUUCUAAAAGGCACCUUAUAGACCUAAAUUACUUAACGAACCAUACUGUGCAGUCUUAUAAUAUUAGUCUACAUUCCUUCUGGAUGGUGAUUCCAUUAGCUUGUGUUUUCCAAAGGUGGGCAGUUGGGAAAGGUGGCUGUGUAUUAAUGAGUUGUCAUUUUCCUCAUAAAGCGCAGUAAUGGACUGGAUCAGGUUAAUUUAAUCUAUACAGUGCUUUCCUACUUUGUUACUGGUUUGAACAGGAGUUGAAUUGCUUUGUUAAUAUUAGGGCUAGAACAAAGGGAUUAUGUCACUGAAUGCUUAC